AAACUAACAAGGAUUCCCUUAGUAACGGCGAGCGAAACGGGAAUAGCCCAACUUGAAAAUCUCCCUUUGGAGAAUUGUAGUCUAUAGAAGCGCCCUCAUGGGCUGGCAGAGCUCAAGUCGGAUCGAAUGCCGCGUCAGAGAGGGUGAUAACCCCGUCGGCUCUGUCCUAGUCCUUCCACGAGGUGCUUUCCAC
Molecule: ribosomal RNA, 193 nt
Filed under: uncultured Chlamydomonadales
Lineage: Eukaryota; Viridiplantae; Chlorophyta; Chlorophyceae; Chlamydomonadales
Description: partial 26S ribosomal RNA
Rfam family: Eukaryotic large subunit ribosomal RNA
Source: RNAcentral